CUCCGGUUGAUCCUGCGGGACCCGACUGCUAUCGGAUUGAGAUUUAGCCAUGCGAGUCGAACGUCCCCCUGUUGCGGGGGGCGUGGCGUACGGCUCAGUAACACGUAGUCAACCUGCCCUGGAGACAAGGACAACCCCGGGAAACUGGGAUUAAUCCUUGAUAGGUCAUCUCAUCUGGAAGGAGAGAUGGCUUAAAGGGGUACGCGGGCUUCUUCCGCGAAUCUGCUCCAGGAUGGGACUGCGUCCGAUCAGGCUGUUGGCGGGGUAAUGGCCCACCAAACCUGUAACCGGUACGGGCCUUGAGAGAGGUGGCCCGGAGAUGGACACUGAGAGAAGGGUCCAGGUCCUACGGGGCGCAGCAGGCGCGAAACCUUCGCAAUGCGCGAAAGCGUGACGAGGUUAAUCCGAGUGACUCCCGCUGAGGGGGUCUUUUGUCAGCUGUAAAUAGGCAGGCGAAUAAGGGGAGGGCAAGCCUGGUGUCAGCCGCCGCGGUAAUACCAGCUCCUCGAGUGGUCGGGGCGAUUAUUGGGCCUAAAGCAUCCGUAGCCGGUUCUGCAAGUCUUCCGUUAAAUCCAGCCGCUCAACGGAUGGGCCGCGGAGGAUACUACAGGACUAGGAGGCGGGAGAGGCAAGCGGUACUCAGUGGGUAGGGGUAAAAUCCUUUGAUCCAUUGAAGACCACCAGUGGCGAAGGCGGCUUGCCAGAACGCGCUCGACGGUGAGGGAUGAAAGCUGGGGGAGCAAACCGGAUUAGAUACCCGGGUAGUCCCAGCUGUAAACGAUGCAGACUCGGUGAUGGGCUAGCCUUGUGCCAGCCCAGUGCCGCAGGGAAGCCGUUAAGUCUGCCGCCUGGGGAGUACGGUCGCAAGACUGAAACUUAGAGGAUUGGCGGGGGAGCA
This 898-nucleotide ribosomal RNA is filed under the name uncultured archaeon. RNAcentral's name for it is "bacterial SSU rRNA". It matches the Rfam family "Archaeal small subunit ribosomal RNA", at positions 1 to 878 of the family's 1478-position model. The record is from RNAcentral.